RNAcentral lists this ribosomal RNA (602 nucleotides) under Ralstonia sp. RNAcentral describes it as "bacterial SSU rRNA". It matches the Rfam family "Bacterial small subunit ribosomal RNA", at positions 101 to 698 of the family's 1533-position model. Lineage: Bacteria; Pseudomonadati; Pseudomonadota; Betaproteobacteria; Burkholderiales; Burkholderiaceae. The record is from RNAcentral.
AACGGGUGAGUAAUACAUCGGAACGUGCCCUGUAGUGGGGGAUAACUAGUCGAAAGAUUAGCUAAUACCGCAUACGACCUGAGGGUGAAAGUGGGGGACCGCAAGGCCUCAUGCUAUAGGAGCGGCCGAUGUCUGAUUAGCUAGUUGGUGGGGUAAAGGCCCACCAAGGCGACGAUCAGUAGCUGGUCUGAGAGGACGAUCAGCCACACUGGGACUGAGACACGGCCCAGACUCCUACGGGAGGCAGCAGUGGGGAAUUUUGGACAAUGGGCGAAAGCCUGAUCCAGCAAUGCCGCGUGUGUGAAGAAGGCCUUCGGGUUGUAAAGCACUUUUGUCCGGAAAGAAAUGGCUCUGGUUAAUACCUGGGGUCGAUGACGGUACCGGAAGAAUAAGGACCGGCUAACUACGUGCCAGCAGCCGCGGUAAUACGUAGGGUCCAAGCGUUAAUCGGAAUUACUGGGCGUAAAGCGUGCGCAGGCGGUUGUGCAAGACCGAUGUGAAAUCCCCGAGCUUAACUUGGGAAUUGCAUUGGUGACUGCACGGCUAGAGUGUGUCAGAGGGGGGUAGAAUUCCACGUGUAGCAGUGAAAAUGCGUAGAGAUG